Molecule: long non-coding RNA, 1370 nt
Filed under: Zea mays
Lineage: Eukaryota; Viridiplantae; Streptophyta; Magnoliopsida; Poales; Poaceae
Description: long non-coding RNA (ZMAY_LNC003280)
Source: RNAcentral
CCAAGACUACCAAAUACUUCAUUUGUAUGCAAGGUGUAGGGUAAAUAAAACUAGGUAACAUGUUAGGUCCCAUCAAUUUAACCUAACAGUGCCACGGUGAUUAGCAGAACCAUAAAUAUUAUUAGGUCAAAGAAUGUGAUCAAGGACACAACUUGCCUUUUUACUUGCGAAUCCAACUAUUUAGGUGUUUCCCCAAAGUUGGGCUUCAUCUUCCUCAUCACCUCGCUUCUACUUGUAGCAAUACAUACAAAUAAGCAAAUAAUGGAUACAAAUAACAUUACACCAAACAUGGAAUCAAACUGAAUAAGAAUAUUCUAUGCGUCGAGAUGAAACUGUAGGUUCAAGAACCACUAAAAGCGUAGUUGAAACAGAGAAGUUAUGAUUUUUCUAAGUUUUUAGGUUAAUUUUUAUACUAAAAACUCAAUUUCAGUUUUAAUUUACUUAUUUCUGGAAAUUCCUUGAUUGUGGAUACCAUUUUUAUAAAGUGCAGGGGCUAUUCUAUGAAAAUUUAAACCUAACCGUAAUUACUUUUGACUAAAAGCGGAUGGCGGGUUAGUUUCAUGCUUCGUCGGAGGCUCUUUAGCAAAAUAACCACGAUGAAGUGGUAUGAUCUAUUCUAGGCCGAUGGAUCUGAUAUCUACGGCUAUGAUUAGAUCUACAUCAAAACGAAGCGGUAUGCAACAGAGUCCGUCAUUAGAGAUCAAUGGCCCAAAACAGUUCGUGAACCAGUAUGCGCUCUGGUCCACCAGAUCCUGAUCUAACGGCACCGAUUCAACGAGCGAAGGGGUACGUGAUGUUAUGAUCUCGAUCGUUCGUUACAAGAUCAAUGGUUGGCGCCUUUCUUCUCAACUCCGACCACCCAGGCGGUGGUACAAGUGGUUCGCACGGCUGCGCUCACGCUGGAGUCAGGCGAUCCGAUCCCCUGGUGAUCCAAAUCGUGUUCCACAUGGUACGCGAAGUGCAGGUCAAGGCGAAUCAAUUAGGCCCUGUUCGUUUGUAUCGGAUUACACCCGGAAUCGUUCCGUCUAAACAAAGUUUAUAUAAAUUAGAGAAGCAAUCCGGUUAGGAAUUAUUCCGACCCAUCAAUCCGAUGGAAACGAACAAGGCCUUAAGAAGAUCCUUACCGAGUAUGACGGCACGAGGAAUCGUGUUGACGCGAUGAUGUGGCUCGACGGUGAAAGAUCUUCGAUGAGCAAUUGGAGCAACUCUGUGGCUCCCCCAUGCUUGUCGAUGCUUCGGCCAACAUGCACCCGAUCUAGCGCACACCCUGAAUAGUUCUCCGAGGAACAGGCGACGAUGUGUCGCAGGCCCGAUGACGGCAGCCAUGGCGGCCUGCGACGGCAACUCUCCCGAUCUCUCUCUCUACUUUG